CGGGGAGUGGCGCAGCCUGGUAGCGCACCUGCUUUGGGAGCAGGCGGUCGCGAGUUCGAAUCUCGCCUCCCCGA
This 74-nucleotide transfer RNA is filed under the name Actinomycetota bacterium. RNAcentral describes it as "Actinobacteria bacterium (freshwater metagenome) tRNA-Pro". It matches the Rfam family "tRNA". From Rfam's summary of the family: Transfer RNA (tRNA) molecules are approximately 80 nucleotides in length. Their secondary structure includes four short double-helical elements and three loops (D, anti-codon, and T loops). Further hydrogen bonds mediate the characteristic L-shaped molecular structure. tRNAs have two regions of fundamental functional importance: the anti-codon, which is responsible for specific mRNA codon recognition, and the 3' end, to which the tRNAs corresponding amino acid is attached (by aminoacyl-tRNA synthetases). tRNAs cope with the degeneracy of the genetic code in two manners: having more than one tRNA (with a specific anti-codon) for a particular amino acid; and 'wobble' base-pairing, i.e. permitting non-standard base-pairing at the 3rd anti-codon position. The record is from RNAcentral. Lineage: Bacteria; Bacillati; Actinomycetota.